AAAGUGCGAUAAGCAAUGCGAAUUGCAGAAUUCCGCGAAUCAUCAGAUCCUUGAACGCAACUGGCGCUAGGGGGCUCUCCUCCUAGCAUGUCUGUUUCAGUGUCUGAAAACAUCAUAAUCUAACUUAAUGUGGUUGAUGACGAAAAGAGAAAUUGGGAAUUUUAAUUCCUAAAUUAAACUUCUUCUUUCUCGAAAUCUCCCAUGAAAGAUGUACAUGCGGGUCUUUGGACUCCUCAUCGAAUUGGUCACUGUCUCCUCAGUGAUUUCGAUAGGAGGAAAACAAUUCAAUUACCUAAAUGCAUGUAGGAAUUUUUAUUCUAACUUCAAACUCUGCAUCUGAAAUCAGGCAAGAACACCCGCUGAACUUAA
RNAcentral lists this unclassified non-coding RNA (369 nucleotides) under uncultured fungus. RNAcentral's name for it is "sequence contains ITS1". The stretch from base 1 to 105 matches the Rfam family "5.8S ribosomal RNA", at positions 50 to 154 of the family's 154-position model. Lineage: Eukaryota; Fungi. The record is from RNAcentral.